RNAcentral lists this ribosomal RNA (349 nucleotides) under cyanobiont of Amphisolenia bidentata. RNAcentral describes it as "bacterial SSU rRNA". It matches the Rfam family "Bacterial small subunit ribosomal RNA", at positions 382 to 746 of the family's 1533-position model. Lineage: Bacteria; Bacillati; Cyanobacteriota. RNAcentral also lists the same sequence under 1 other name. The record is from RNAcentral.
CCUGACGGAGCAACGCCGCGUGAGGGAUGAAGGCCUCUGGGCUGUAAACCUCUUUUCUCAAGGAAGAAGAUCUGACGGUACUUGAGGAAUAAGCCACGGCUAAUUCCGUGCCAGCAGCCGCGGUAAUACGGGAGUGGCGAGCGUUAUCCGGAAUUAUUGGGCGUAAAGCGUCCGCAGGCGGCCUUUCAAGUCUGCUGUUAAAGCGUGGAGCUUAACUCCAUCAUGGCAGUGGAAACUGUUUGGCUUGAGUGUGGUAGGGGCAGAGGGAAUUCCCGGUGUAGCGGUGAAAUGCGUAGAUAUCGGGAAGAACACCAGUGGCGAAGGCGCUCUGCUGGGCCAUAACUGACGC